RNAcentral lists this ribosomal RNA (492 nucleotides) under uncultured bacterium. RNAcentral describes it as "partial 16S ribosomal RNA". It matches the Rfam family "Bacterial small subunit ribosomal RNA", at positions 29 to 507 of the family's 1533-position model. The record is from RNAcentral.
AGUGAACGCUGGCGGUAGGCCUAACACAUGCAAGUCGAACGGCAGCACAGUAAGAGCUUGCUCUUACGGGUGGCGAGUGGCGGACGGGUGAGGAAUACAUCGGAAUCUACUUUUUCGUGGGGGAUAACGUAGGGAAACUUACGCUAAUACCGCAUACGACCUACGGGUGAAAGCAGGGGAUCUUCGGACCUUGCGCGAUUGAAUGAGCCGAUGUCGGAUUAGCUAGUUGGCGGGGUAAAGGCCCACCAAGACGACGAUCCGUAGCUGGUCUGAGAGGAUGAUCAGCCACACUGGAACUGAGACACGGUCCAGACUCCUACGGGAGGCAGCAGUGGGGAAUAUUGGACAAUGGGCGCAAGCCUGAUCCAGCCAUACCGCGUGGGUGAAGAAGGCCUUCAGGUUGUAAAGCCCUUUUGUUGGGAAAGAAAAGCAGCAGGUUAAUACCCCGCUGUUCUGACGGUACCCAAAGAAUAAGCACCGGCUAACUUCGUG